GUGCUCACUUAGGCAGCACAUAUACUAAGAUUGGAACCAUAUAAAGGAGAUUAGCAUGUCCCCUGUGCAAGGAUGACAUGCAUAUUUAAAAUAAUAAUAAUAUUAAC
Small nuclear RNA from Ictidomys tridecemlineatus (thirteen-lined ground squirrel), 107 nucleotides. The record is from Ensembl. Lineage: Eukaryota; Metazoa; Chordata; Mammalia; Rodentia; Sciuridae.